GGCCGGUUAGCUCAGUGGUUUGAGUGCGGUGCUGACAACACUGAGGUCAUGGGUUCGAUUCCCGCUCGGUCC
Molecule: non-coding RNA, 72 nt
Organism: Apaloderma vittatum (bar-tailed trogon)
Lineage: Eukaryota; Metazoa; Chordata; Aves; Trogoniformes; Trogonidae
Source: Rfam